Lupinus albus (white lupine) is the source of this 123-nucleotide non-coding RNA. Lineage: Eukaryota; Viridiplantae; Streptophyta; Magnoliopsida; Fabales; Fabaceae. The record is from the annotation of a GenBank genome assembly.
CGUCUGUGAUGAUAAUUUGUAGGCUUGUUUCUCAAAACAUUCGCAGUGGCCGACCAAGAGUUUUCGCCUUCGCCAGGCUUGAGAACUAAUGUUGUUCUUAUCCUUCCUUGGAUGUCUGAGACG